RNAcentral lists this transfer RNA (73 nucleotides) under Kosakonia radicincitans. RNAcentral describes it as "tRNA-Lys-TTT". It matches the Rfam family "tRNA". Rfam says of the family: Transfer RNA (tRNA) molecules are approximately 80 nucleotides in length. Their secondary structure includes four short double-helical elements and three loops (D, anti-codon, and T loops). Further hydrogen bonds mediate the characteristic L-shaped molecular structure. tRNAs have two regions of fundamental functional importance: the anti-codon, which is responsible for specific mRNA codon recognition, and the 3' end, to which the tRNAs corresponding amino acid is attached (by aminoacyl-tRNA synthetases). tRNAs cope with the degeneracy of the genetic code in two manners: having more than one tRNA (with a specific anti-codon) for a particular amino acid; and 'wobble' base-pairing, i.e. permitting non-standard base-pairing at the 3rd anti-codon position. The record is from RNAcentral. Lineage: Bacteria; Pseudomonadati; Pseudomonadota; Gammaproteobacteria; Enterobacterales; Enterobacteriaceae.
GGGUCGUUAGCUCAGUUGGUAGAGCAGUUGACUUUUAAUCAAUUGGUCGCAGGUUCGAAUCCUGCACGACCNC